CCAAGUAACUUUUAAAUUCCCAUUGAGGCAAUUCACGGCAGGGUUCAAACUUCUUUCCGUAAUAUUGUUCAGUGACAGAUCGGAACUUCUCAAUCCCCCAUGAACUGAGUAAAUAUUUCAAUCUGCUAUAUCUGCGAUCAUCUCUUCUCCCAUUCUCUCUCUGAGUAACAACAAUAGCUUUAACUGCAUAAAGUAUAUCCGCUUUAGGAACAUAACCUAAUGGCUCAGCCAGACGAGGAAAAGUAGUUUCCAUCCUAUGAGUUCGUCCCAUACCACCACCUACAUAUAUAUUGAAUCCCUGAGGUUCUCCAUCCUCAUCAGAUACAACAACAACACCUAUGUCAUUCGUGAAAAUGUCCACCGAGUUAUCACUUGGCACAGUAACUGCGAUUUUGAACUUUCUUGGCAAGAACUGAGUUCCAUAAAUGGGUUCAGGUGAGUCAGGAAAGUUCGUUCCAUGGGAGUUAUCAUUCCGAGCUUUCACAACUUCAGGAGGUUCUACUGACAUAAAUUUCUCCCCAUCCACCCAAACGUCAUAGUAAAAUCCAGACUGGGGAGUUAAAAGUGCUGCAAUGUUGUCAGCUGCCCCAUUUGCAAAAAAAGAUUAUGUUUUUGCUAAACAAACAGCUGACAAC
Molecule: unclassified non-coding RNA, 635 nt
Filed under: Hevea brasiliensis (rubber tree)
Lineage: Eukaryota; Viridiplantae; Streptophyta; Magnoliopsida; Malpighiales; Euphorbiaceae
Source: RNAcentral